UGUCCCAUAAAUCGAGACUAGUAUGAAUGGCUAAACGAGGUCUUAACUGUCUCUUACAGGCAAUCGGUGAAAUUGAUCUCCCUGUGCAAAAGCAGGGAUAAACCCAUAAGACGAGAAGACCCUGUGGAACUUUAAAAACAGCAGCCACCUUAAAACACAUAAACACCCACCGGGUUCACUCAAAUACAAGUACUGGCCUGCAUUUUUUCGGUUGGGGCGACCUUGGAGAAAAACAAAUCCUCCAAAAAUUAGACCACACAUCUAGACUAAGAGAGACAUCUCAACGUGCUAAUAGCAUCCAGACCCAAUAUAAUUGAUCAAUGAACCAAGCUACCCCAGGGAUAACAGCGCAAUCUCCUUCGAGAGUCCAUAUCGACAAGGAGGUUUACGACCUCGAUGUUGGAUCAGGACAUCCUAGUGGUGCAGCAGCUACUAAGGGCUCGUUUGUUCAACGAUUAAUAGU
Molecule: ribosomal RNA, 463 nt
Filed under: Bombycilla garrulus
Lineage: Eukaryota; Metazoa; Chordata; Aves; Passeriformes; Bombycillidae
Description: partial 16S ribosomal RNA
Rfam family: Bacterial large subunit ribosomal RNA
Source: RNAcentral